GCAGUGCCUUACUCAGAAAGGUGCCAGUAACUUACACUACAUGUGACUGUGUCCUUUCUGCGUAGAGUAAGGCUC
This is a microRNA precursor of Pan paniscus (pygmy chimpanzee), 75 nucleotides long. The record is from Ensembl. Lineage: Eukaryota; Metazoa; Chordata; Mammalia; Primates; Hominidae.